RNAcentral lists this ribosomal RNA (500 nucleotides) under uncultured bacterium. RNAcentral describes it as "partial 16S ribosomal RNA". It matches the Rfam family "Bacterial small subunit ribosomal RNA", at positions 30 to 523 of the family's 1533-position model. The record is from RNAcentral.
AUUGAACGCUGGCGGCAGGCCUAACACAUGCAAGUCGAGCGGAUGACGGGAGCUUGCUCCUUGAUUCAGCGGCGGACGGGUGAGUAAUGCCUAGGAAUCUGCCUGGUAGUGGGGGACAACGUUUCGAAAGGAACGCUAAUACCGCAUACGUCCUACGGGAGAAAGCAGGGGACCUUCGGGCCUUGCGGUAUCAGAUGAGCCUAGGUCGGAUUAGCUAGGUGGUGGGGUAAUGGCCCACCAAGGCGACGAUCCGUAACUGGUCUGAGAGGAUGAUCAGUCACACUGGAACUGAGACACGGUCCAGACUCCUACGGGAGGCAGCAGUGGGGAAUAUUGGACAAUGGGCGAAAGCCUGAUCCAGCCAUGCCGCGUGUGUGAAGAAGGUCUUCGGAUUGUAAAGCACUUUAAGUUGGGAGGAAGGGCAGUAAGUUAAUACCUUGCUGUUUUGACGUUUCCGACAGAAUAAGCACCGGCUAACUCUGUGCCAGCAGCCGCCGUAA